This 253-nucleotide ribosomal RNA is filed under the name uncultured bacterium. Its description in RNAcentral is "partial 16S ribosomal RNA". It matches the Rfam family "Bacterial small subunit ribosomal RNA", at positions 524 to 776 of the family's 1533-position model. The record is from RNAcentral.
UACGUAGGGUCCGAGCGUUGUCCGGAAUUAUUGGGCGUAAAGGGCGCGUAGGCGGCAUGGCAAGUGGAAGGUGAAAUCCCUCGGCUUAACCGAGGAACUGCCCUCCAAACUGCUUUGCUUGAGGCCGGGAGAGGUGAGUGGAAUUCCCAGUGUAGCAGUGAAAUGCGUAGAUAUUGGGAGGAACACCAGUGGCGAAGGCGGCUCACUGGACCGGUUCUGACGCUGAGGCGCGAAAGCGUGGGGAGCAAACGGG